Molecule: long non-coding RNA, 2000 nt
Filed under: Calidris pugnax (ruff)
Lineage: Eukaryota; Metazoa; Chordata; Aves; Charadriiformes; Scolopacidae
Description: lncRNA (ENSCPUG00000010455.1)
Source: RNAcentral
GUGGGGGGGGAAGCCCACCGGGCCGGUCGCUGAGGAGAAGAGGGGUGAGGCGGCGAGGGAGCGGGGUGGGGUGGGAGCCCGGCUGCCGCCCAGCAGAGCGGGCGAGCGGGAACUGGACGCCGCUCGCCGCGCUGCCGCGGCUGCACCUCCCCUAACCCUGCCCCCCUCCCGGAGGGGGAGCCGCCGGCGGGAGGAGGCGGCCGAGAGCCCCCUCCAGCGUUCACCGGCGGCGGUAGCUCCGGCUCGCCAUGGCCGCUCGCCUCAACGGUGCCGCCCGCCAGCAGGUACCCGGGGCGGCCCGUCGGGGGAGGGGAGGAGGAGCCGCGACCACCGCCCUGCCGUGCCGGUGAGGAGUCCAGAAGACACCAGCCAUGCCCAGAAGGCAGCACCCAGCUGUAAUGGUGUUGGCAAAAUGAGAGACAAGUAAUGACCCUUCUGAGCAAAAUUGACCAAGGUUAAACUUGGAAUUCCUGUCAGUCACUGGUAACUCGGGAAUACUUCAGUAUUUACCCCUGGGUUACAGUCCCCUGGGAAGACUCUGCCAACAUGCAUCCUUCCCACUUUUUUUGGAAGAAGAUUCCUAAAUUCCAGUUCAGCAACCAGCAUGGCUCAUCUGGUGCCACAGGGGAGCUUUGAACCUCCUCUGCUAGGAGCAACACACAGCACACGUCUUCCACAAGAAAAUAACCCUCAAGGCAUUCACUGCUCACUGUUAAAUUUUCAGUAUCUAUUGCUAAAUAAGUGAAACUCCACUACAAACACUUAUGGCCGGCACCACGUCCUCCACAAGAAAAUAACCCUCAAGGCAUUCACUGCUCACUGUUAAAUUUUCAGUAUCUAUUGCUAAAUAAGUGAAACUCCACUACAAACACUUAUGGUGCAUCUACUUGUUACAUUAGCUCAAGUUAUUCUUAAGCCAAGAGUGCUACUAAUACUAAACUCCACAGACAUUUUGAUUUCAUAGUUUAAGGAGCUGUAGUUGCGGUGCAUCUACUGUUACAUUAGCUCAAGCUAUUCUUAAGCCAAGAGUGCUACCAAUACUAAACUCCAAAGACAUUUUGAUUUCAUAGUUUAAGGAGCUGCCCCUGAAGUGAGGUCACAGGCAGCCUCUUGAGUGAGAAAGCAAAGUCAUAAAAAUCGAAGCCCAGGUGAACAUACCAGGUCCUACCUUACCUUCUUGAAAACACAGGGAGAAAAUUACAUCACUGAUCUGAACUGGAAUGACAGGAGCAGAUCUGCCAGAGAUUGUGGAAAGUCUCCUCAGAGCAGAAAUCACUGUUUCUCGUCUCCAAAGCAAAGAGGUGAAUUUCACACUAAUUCCAGCCUUGCAAGAGCGGUUGGAGAUCAUCGUCCCAGGCUGUCAUUCCCAGGCUGAUUCUCUAAAUUCGGUCAGAUUAGCUGAGAGAUUGUUUGGUUUCUUCUCUAUCAGAUAAUUAGAAAGAUCACAGUCAAUUCUGCAAGCAAAAAUCUGUGAAUGCAUAACAAAUGUAAAGACCAAACAUUUGGGCCCCCCGGGCUGUGAAGGAACAAGACACCGCCUUUGAAAAGCAAAUACUCCAAUACAGAAAAGUUCUAAAAGCUCAAGAGACAAAACCUAGAUUUCUGCUGGAAUAAUCAUACUGUUACUGAGCUUGGCAUUUUGUAUUCAAAGAUACAAACCAGACAGCUUUCUCGUGUCCUGAAUGUGUCUCCAUUCCUUAUCUAACUUUUGGGUCAGAAAAGAUGCUGCAGAAACCUUUUCUUCAGCAAAAAGCAAACCAAAUUUAGGGCUUCCAGGGUUAUAGCACUGGGUAACAUCUCCUGGAUGAGGCUCCUGUGAAAAAGGAAAAUCAAUUCAGUAGUGGCAAAGAGGCACAAACUUGGUGUUAAACUUAUUAAAAGUUAGUGUGUUAAUAGUACAGGCAGACAAAAAUCAGAGAAAUCUAACUAACUGAAUGACAACGAGACAGCGAUGGAGGGAGCUUAUACCCUCCCGAAAUAAAAGCACCUUCUGAAUCCCA